CAAUUUCUUAAACAAAUUUCUUAGAAAACCAGUUUCUUAAAAAUGUAAAAACAAACUUGUAGAAACAAGUUGUGGCAUAUUUGUAAACAAAGUUACGGCCAAAGUAAUAUUGAAAAUAAAAACAUUGGCAAUCUUGUAAAGAAAAGGUAUCCUCUAAACAAACAAACCUGCAAUAAUGAGUCAUUGUGACAAAGAAGAAAUAAAACAUUGGCUUUUCUUACUUCUACAAAUAAUAAAAUGUUAACAUGUAACUUUUAUAUAUUUAAAAUAUUUGGCAACCCAUUUAGUUUUGGUAAUAGCCAUUUAUUUUGUUUUGCAACCAUAUGAUUGCAAACAUCGCACACGCACAUAGAGGCUCACACGCACACAGUCAGAUUCAAUUCGGGAUGGAGGGAACAACAAGAAAUAAUGAUAACUGGAUUCUAUAACAAACGACAAACCUUCAAAAUCCUUAAUUCAUAGCUAUCAUUUGUAGUUUAAUACUCAUGGAUUUUAGUAAUUGCUGCUCUAGAAAUGCAUUUAGAAAAUUUCAUUAAACCCAAUCACUUACUAAGAAACACGUUGUGUUAAAGCUAAUAAUAUGCGUGAAGCAUAAAUCAUUGAGAAAGAUUGCUAACCAACUGCAACUGAAUAUGCUAAUGUACAUAAAAGAUCACAUGAUGAAACGUUUACCAGCAAUAGCAAUGUGUUAGAUCUACUAUUUUGGUGUCAAGUAGCCCUUGGAGUUCCCCCAAACACUUCAGUAGGAAAUCAUUAAUAAAGCAUCCCAAUGAAGUGUUCGGAGGAUCUCUGAGGGACACUUGGCUUUUCCUACAUCUGUAUUUGCUUGAAGUUGAUUGCUUUGUUUAGAAAAUAAACGUGCCAGAAUUACUUGGUAUAUAUAGAGGGAGAGGGAGUAGAGGUUAUUUUCUGAUCGAUGAACAUGGAUACAUCAGCAGCAUGAACAUGGUUGCCAUCGUGUCUCUAUUAGGAGAUAUAUUUUCCCAUAAUCCCAAUUUUCACAUAAAGGGAAAUAUAUGAGAGUGACGAGUUAUGCUGAGGACCAGGUGAACAUGGGUAUCAUAUUCUCAUUUGAUCAUCUAUCCCAUAUACAUGACCACAUUCAAUCUCUGACCUACAAUAUAUAACAUAUUAGCAUAAGAUUUGAUAAUGGGAAAGAGAUGUAUAUUGAUUAUUCAUUCAAAACUAGAAUUGAAUCGAAUAUACCAUGACUGCAAUAUCAUGUAAAGAAAUGAUGCAUGCUGAUUUAUAUAUAAGGUUACAGACACGGCAAGAGGCAGGACAUGCAAAAUUCUGCUCUAAUUGAACUUUUUGUGAAAGAUUUCCUAUUGCAGGUCCACUAGUCUGAUUCUCUUCUUACUCUCAUAAGCUCCCUCGAUUAUAACCCCACUAUCAUUUUCAAGUUUCAACCAUUACCCUCCAAUUAUGUUCAAAUGUGUAUAAACUAUAAAAGGCGUUGAAAGAUUCUCACAUCCACAUAAUCACCCUACACCUAUCACCAUAUAUUUGGAGACUGCAUCUCAUUGUGCACCUGCUUGUAAUUUUGUUUUCUUCUGAUUUUCAUUCGUAUGUAUUCUGCCCCCUGUAAUUUACCAGCUAGCUUUCAAUCUUUUUGUUUUUAAAAAUCUGCGGUUCUAGAAAAAAGUUGUAGAGAGAAUGAAGAGCAACUUACCAGGUAAAUAAAGAUCCAGUUGAAAAAAAUUGAUUUAUCAAUCCCCCUCUAUUUUUUUUUUCAAUUGAUAAAUAUAGUUACUGUUGGUGAUAAUGAAGAGCAUUGACGAUGGAGUAGACUUUGAAUGAUAUGGGAAAGGAAGCAGCAACCAUUUGAUCAAGGGGAGGUUUUCCGAUUGCGUUGGAGCAACGAUUUCUGUUUACAUAAGUUGAAUAAAAAUAAACUAGUUAACGAUUUAUUUUAGGUUUAAAACACAAACAGGUAAUAAGCCGAUUUAAAUGAAAGAAAAUUCACAAAAAAUAACGACUAUAAAGAACGAUUAGACAAAGAAUUAAAAACACCGUUUCUUAAAUUUUUUUAUUUAAAAUCAUUUUUUUUAAAUAAUGUGAAACUAUAUUUCAAAAAUAUGGUGCAAAUUUGUAAAAACAAAUCCGAAGCUAAUUCAUAAUUUUUUUUUUAAAUCCGGUGACGAACUCGCUAUAGCCCAUCAGAUGGUUUAUGUGAGGACGAACUCAUGAAGUCAAGGUGGAUAGAUGAUGAGGGUUGGUUUAGGGUACGACAAAAUACAAUGAAUUUGAAGCCAACAUCGGGAAGGGUCAUUGAAACUUAAUCAUCAGCAAGUAAGUUCUCAUGUUCUCGUUCAGCCUACGCUAGAAUAAAAUGAAUUCCAGGAAAAAUUGAGAUGAUAAGAACAUCAUCCUCGUCAUUACAGCCAGAUAGAUCGAUUGAGAGGGAGGUAAAAGGUAGGAGAUGGCGAUUUCCAUCUACUAACACCUCAUAGAUUGAUGUUUAAGCUAACUUUAUUCAAAUAGUGCGUGGAGGAAUCUAAUGUUUAAUUUUAAGGUAUGAGUUAUUCCCAUUUGUAUUGAACUUAGGUUUGAAGCGUUUAUUGGAAAUAAAAAUCCGUUUCGUGUUCAUUUUAGGGACAGGAUUUUCUUUUUAACCAUUUGUAGAUAAUUUAUGUGGUUGCAAGCUCCGAUCUAUCACCCACUUGAUAGAUUUGGUGUGUUUGGGUGAAAAACAUAAUUAUGACCUAUGUUUCCAAUUGGGGGUUACGUGUGUUGGAUUGCCACUUCAGAUGGCGAGAGCAAGCGAACGAUUCAGAUGCUCAAAGAUUCGCUUUGGUCUUAUGUAUUAGAUUUUGGAGGGAGUUGGAAUACUUACCUUCCACUGGCUGAGUUCUCCUACAAAAGCAGUUAUCAUGCCGGUACUCACCGGCCAUCGUUUAAGAUGUUAUAUGGAAGGAGGUGCAAUACCCGGUUUGCACGGGAGAGGUCGGGCAUCGGGUCAUGGGUGUACUGAGGUGGUACUCAAGACCAUUGAAUUGAUUCCGUAGGUGCACGACAUUUUGCAGGUCCCCUAAAGCCGAUAGGAGAGUUAUGCAGAUCGGGGACGUUCGGACCUUGUGUUUCAGGAGGGGGAUUUGGUGCUUUUAAAGAUGUCACCUUGGAAAUAUGUGAUCCGAUUUCAAAAGUCGGGAAGCUGGCAGCAGAUUUAUUGGUCCCUUCAGGAUUUCUUCCCUGGUGGGAAAUGUUGAACACCAUCUGGAUUUUCCUGAUGACUCAGCCGGAUGUACAAAACCUUCCAUGUGUCUCAAGUUCGGAAGUGUGUCGUCAAUUAGCUCGAAGUUGUUCAUUUGGAUUACAUUCAGGUUGAUGAUCGUCUAAAUUAUGUGAAGAGAUCGGUGACGAUCUUGGAUUGGAAGACGAACACUCUUUGCAACAUAGGAGUAUCACUACACAAGGUCCAGUGGCAUCAUCGGAAGGAUUUCGAAUGGAAGUGGGAGCCUGAGGCGGCAAUGCGAGAGCACUACCUUAAUUUAUUUGCAACAACAGACUUUGUGGACGAAGUCUAGUUCAAGUGGGGGAGAGUUGUAACAUUUUUAUUUGCAAGUAUUUUAAAAUUUUACACUUGAUUUGAGUUUGGUUUUAAAAUUUUGUCCCAAGCGGUAUUUUCGUAAUUUUUGCGUAGGAGACUCGUACGUUGGGCGUACAUGGCGAGGGUGCAAACCCUAAAUUUUAUGGUUUGGACCCUAUUUAAGCAUCAUUAUAGACCACACCCUCAUUUAUCUUCAGCCUCCAUCCCUAUCUCGAAACCCUAAAGUAAGUGAGUGAGUUUUGAAGCGUGAUGAGCCUUUGUAGUGCCAUUCUAGUGCUCUUAGUGCUGAAUUAGGAACCUAGAAGUUGUCGUGUUUCACUCAAGGCUUUGGAUCCUAGAACUACUCUGUCUUGUUCAUCUUCUGGAGGUAUAAAGCUACAACUUGAUGAUUACCCUAUCUCGAAACCCUAAAGUAAGUGAGUGAGUUUUGAAGCGUGAUGAGCCUUUGUAGUGCCAUUCUAGUGCUCUUAGUGCUGAAUUAGGAACCUAGAAGUUGUUGUGUUUCACUCAAGGCUUUGGAUCCUACAACUACUAUGUCUUGUUCAUCUUCUGGAGGUAUAAAGCUACGACUUGAUGAAUAUUUCAUUAAGAUGUAGUUUAGUUUAAUGUUAGCACCUUUUUGUACCAAAUAUUGAUUCUUAUGAGUAUGGAGUACUCCAAGAUGUUUGAGUUGUCAUUUCAGAUGUUAUAGGGUGUGUUAAGUCAUAAAAAUAUGAUCUUGGACAUUAGCUCCUUCACAUGCAUGAUCUAGAUUGUCUUAAUGGGUCAAGAGACUAGGGUCUUUUUAGCCAUGAAAACCCAUAAAGUUGGAAACUUUAUGGUUCUGAACACUUGUUAGGGUCUAGAUCUAGAUUUUGGACGUAAGUGCUUAAGGAUUUAGCACUUAAUGGAUUGGGUAGGUGGCAACCACGAACGUUGGGCAUAGCAACGGGUAGACUGUACGAUCAGGGUCAGCCCUUCGACAUUUUCUCAAGCAAGUAGUAUUACCGAUUUCUAGAUUAUUAAGUUAUUCAAAAUUCUCGAUCGUGCUUUUGGAAGUAAGUAGUGAUUUAAGAUUAUAAUGGAGCAUUGAUAGAUUGUCCAUGGUGAUGCAUAAAGAAAAUUUUGGAAUAAAUGCUCAUGAGUACUUUAAAUGGAGAUUUUAAGGUAUUGGAGUAACCCACACUUAGAGAUUACUUCAUGGAUUCUAUUACAAGUAAUUCUAAGAUGGUAAUAUCAUAUAUACGUCAAACGGAGAUGCUUGGGAUUCUCUCCUACAAUCUGUUUUGUUUUGGUUUCCCCCAAACAUUGUUCGUAAAUGGCAAUUAUAAAGGGUUUGAGUAGAUAUGACAUGCACAAUAGGCAGAAUCUUUUAAGUCGAAGUUUAUUUGUUCGCUUCUCCCUCAAAAAAUAAAAACAGAUAUCAUUGUUCCCAUCGAUGAUUUGAUUUUGACAUUAAAAUACAUGGUCGUGCUCAUACUAAAUUGAUGGAUAAAUUAUGCAGUUUUCUUUUGAUUGAUACAAAUUAGUAUCGGGAAACAAAAUCUUGAACAUUUGAGAUUGAAUGUAUCAAUGUCUCAUUUUCAUAUACAUAUCUCGAAGAACAAAGGAACAUUUGAUUACAUAUCUAAGGGAUAUAUCACACUUAUAUGUUUUGAUUAUGACAAAUACAUUUGACUAGAUCCUCUCUACUCAUUACUAUUAAAUAAUAGACCAUAUAGUCUUCGUGACUUGUGCAAGUUGAGGUCUUAGAAAAUGGUGCCAAGAGUUACAACACAGUGACAUGUAAGUUAUUAGUACAUAAUGUUAUAAGAUGCAACUUUGGGUAUACACAUAACCGUUAUUACCCUUUGAGGGAUGAAUCACCUGAUAAUAAAAAGAAAAUAUAAAAAGACAAGUUUACUUUUAUGUAAAACCCAUUAAAAAGUUGUUAUAAACAUGUAGUAGUUGUAAUAUAUCUUAAAAACUAUGAAUAAAAUGAAUAUAUAAAAAAAGAAAUUGAAUUAGUAAAAAAAAUCAAUUUCUUAAACAAAUUUCUUAAAAAACCAGUUUCUUAAAAAUGUAAAAACAAACUUGUAGAAACAAGUUGUGGCAUAUUUGUAAACAAAGUUACGGCCAAAGUAAUAUUGAAAAUAAAAACAUUGGCAAUCUUGUAAAGAAAAGGUAUCCUCUAAACAAACAAACCUGCAAUAAUGAGUCAUUGUGACAAAGAAGAAAUAAAACAUUGGCUUUUCUUACUUCUACAAAUAAUAAAAUGUUAACAUGUAACUUUUAUAUAUUUAAAAUAUUUGGCAACCCAUUUAGUUUUGGUAAUAGCCAUUUAUUUUGUUUUGCAACCAUAUGAUUGCAAACAUCGCACACGCACAUAGAGGCUCACACGCACACAGUCAGAUUCAAUUCGGGAUGGAGGGAACAACAAGAAAUAAUGAUAACUGGAUUCUAUAACAAACGACAAACCUUCAAAAUCCUUAAUUCAUAGCUAUCAUUUGUAGUUUAAUACUCAUGGAUUUUAGUAAUUGCUGCUCUAGAAAUGCAUUUAGAAAAUUUCAUUAAACCCAAUCACUUACUAAGAAACACGUUGUGUUAAAGCUAAUAAUAUGCGUGAAGCAUAAAUCAUUCAGAAAGAUUGCUAACCAACUGCAAC
RNAcentral lists this long non-coding RNA (6173 nucleotides) under Lactuca sativa (garden lettuce). Its description in RNAcentral is "long non-coding RNA (LSAT_LNC003378)". The record is from RNAcentral. Lineage: Eukaryota; Viridiplantae; Streptophyta; Magnoliopsida; Asterales; Asteraceae.